This is a long non-coding RNA of Stegostoma tigrinum, 11922 nucleotides long. RefSeq lists it as uncharacterized. The record is from RefSeq and is a predicted model, not a curated record. The transcript is spliced from 2 exons. Lineage: Eukaryota; Metazoa; Chordata; Chondrichthyes; Orectolobiformes; Stegostomatidae.
CCUACCCUCCAGCCAAUCAGAGCGAGUGAGAUGUUUGUCUGUGUGAAAAUCAUGUGAUCGCCUCUGUCCGCGGGCGCAAUAUCUCUGCGAAUGAGGGUUAGCUGCUUUCGGAAGCAAACGGAAAAACUGCUACGGACCUGAGGCUGCGAUAGGCAGAGGUAAUUGCCACCAUCUUUAUUAGGGGCAGUGAUCUUCGGGACUCAUGCCGGAUCGCCAUAUUUAUAGGUGGCAACCUGCAGUGGAACGCAAGCGCAGCCUUUCUUGCUUGGGAGGGGAGAUUAAGACAAGAGAAAUGUUUGUUUUUGUUUUUGUUUUUCUGGACUUCUUUCCCAGACUGUGAGACACGGCGUGUAUUUCCUGGGAAGGACCUUUGACGCUGGCGGAGUACUGGCUUCAGGCAGUAUAAAUUGCUGCAAGUUAUCCGUUAGAUAUUUAAUGGAGGAGAAAUGCCGAAAACGUGUUCAGAACUGCAUGUUCAAAAACAAAGUUGCUGGAAAAGCUCAGUAGGUUUGGUAGCAUCUGUGAAAGGAAAAAAAAUAACGUUUCGGAUCCGCUAAUCCUUGCUUAGAACUUCAUGUUACCUGUUGCACUCUCACUGUAGGAAGUCCUGCUUUAAAUAUUAUGAUCUAUUAAAGCAUAUCCGUUUGCCCAGUAUUCAUAUGAUUGGGAUCAAAUCACUGAAAGUGCUCUGAGUCCCCUUGUGCUCCCUCGUCAAAUUUAUUAAUGUCUGACUUCCUCAGUCUGUAAUAAUGGGUGUAUUUUACCUCUGCAUCUUUCUGUGUGGGGGAGCAGGGUGCUUUUAAGAGGAGGAUUUAUACAUAACUAACAGAAACCAAGAGAAAUGUUUGCCUUUUCCAGACAAUCUUGUGUUUUCUGGAUUUCUGUCCAGGCCUGACCGUUAUUUGUCUCUUGUGGAUUUGCUUUACAGGAUAUUUAUUGAGAAUAAUUUGCAAACCAGGAUCCCAAUGCAAGUUCUCCAUUAAGCGGAGUGAUCAGGAUCUGAGUAUCAUUGACACUUAACAGUGAAAGGAAAGAGGUUUAACCAUUCUAUGCAUGGGAGAAUACUCCUGGUAAGUUUGUAACUUGAAAGCAGGAUAUUCAAAUUUUUGGUUUGAUCACCUCUGGGAUAAGUGUUCAGUUCUAUACCCUGCAGCUGAGAAAGGAGAUAUUGGCCUGAGAGGGGUAGAUUUGUCCAAACAACACCUCGUCUCUUUGAAAGAACUGUCAUAUUUAGUCCCAAUCGCCCACUUCAUGAUUUUAGUCUAUACAUUUUUCAUUCUUGAAUACCUGCAAACUUCCUUUUAAAAUUCCUGAUGGGCACAAAUUCCAGCACCCCUCCAGGUGGAAUCUUCCAUUUCCUGACAACUCCAUUGAUCCUGAAACUGCUGAAGUCUGUGUUGAUUCCUGAGGUUUAUAAAUUACUGCAUUUAACGUGAAGAUGCUGUUCCCUGAGCUUCCAUUGAGCUGCAUUGAAACAGUAUGGGAGGCUGAGAUCAGAGUGGGUGUGAGCAUACAAUGAAAAUGAAAAGGCUGCACUGUGAGUGCUGCUUGGCUAAAUGAGAGUGCUUUGGAGUUGGGUGAAACAGAAAGUGAAACUGAAAGAUUGAGUGUGAUGCUCAGUCUCAGUUUGGGCAGUUCAGAAAGUCUCUCAGUCCUAAUGGAAACAGCCAAUUGAUAUUUGAUACUGUAAAGAAUUUUCUUACAGUUUUUAAAGUAUAUAUUAGCUUAAAUAAAGUUAGGGGCUUUAGGUUUAUAAUAGUAAUGUUUGAAAUGAAGGGGGAGGACCUAGCUUAAUUAAAUUCUUUUUAAGGCAGAAACUGGCUUAAUCUGGAGAGAAGUCAAAACAGAAGACAUCACACCUGUGAUGUGCUCCUCUUGCACAAUAGAACAUAGGCUCUUGAUGUUGUGUCGACCUGUGAAACCACACUGAAGCCCAUUUAACCCACACUAUUCCAUUAUCAUCCAUAUGUUUAUCCAAAGACCACUUAAAUGCCCUUAAACUUGGCGAGUCUACUACUGUUGCAGGCAGGGCAUUGCACGCCCUUAUUACCCUGAGUAAAGAACCUACCUCUGACAUCUGUCCGAUAUCUAUGACCCGUCAAUCUAAAGCUAUAUCCCCUCGUGCUAGCCAGCUCCAUCUGAGGAAAAAGGACCUCAGUGUCCACCCUAUCUAAUCCUCAUAUCAUCUUGUAUGUCUCUAUUAGGUCACCUCUGAACCUUCUUCUCUCUGACGAAAACAGCCUAAAGUCCCUCAACCUUUCCUCAUAAGACCUUCCCUCGAUACCAGGCAACAUUCUGGUAAAUCUCCUGUGCACCCAUUCCAAUGCUUGCACAUCCUUCGUGCAAUGCGGUGACCAGAACUCCGAGUGCGGCCGCACCAGAGUUUCGUACCGCUGCAAUAUGACCUCAUGGUUCUGAAACGCAAUCCCUCUAUCAGUAAAAACGAACACAUUGUACACCUUCUUAACAACCCUAUCAACUUGUGGAAACUUUCAGGGAUCUAUGUACAUGGACACCGAGAUCUCUUUGCUCAUCCACACUAUCAAGAAUCUUACCAUUAGCCCAGUACUCUGUAUUCCUGUUACUCCUUCCAAUGUGAAUCACCUCACAGUUUUCCGCAUUAAACUCUGGGACAUUACCAGUGUCCCUAUUGGCUAUUUGUGCAGGAAGUGUGUCCAUCUGCAGCUACUGGUUAACUGCUUUUCAGAGCUUGAGCUGUGGGUGCAGUCAGUAUGGAGCAUCCAUGGUAACUGAGAAGGUUGUGGUCGCAUUCUCAACAGACUGGUCACGCAGCAGGUGAAGAUUACACAGACAGCAAGGGAAUGGGUGACUAUCAGACAAGUAAAAGGCUCAGAAAGGAAGUGCUGGAGUCAUCUCCCUCAAAUAGAUAUACUGUUUUGGGUACUGUUCAGUUGGGGGGGAGAGAGGUGGGGGAUGUUGGGGUGGCCACUCGGGAAGCAGCAUCAGUCGGGUUCAUGGCACUCGGAGUAACUCCGCUGCAUAGAAGGGGAGGGAAACGAUAAAUAUGACUGUAGAGACAGGGGAUUCAAUAGUAAGGGAUAGAGAGAGACAUGAAUCCAGGAUGGUAUGUUGCCUCCCUGGUGCCAGGAUUAGCGAUGACACGGAGCAGCUUCAGGACAUUCUGGAGUGGGAGGGUGAACAUCCGAUUGUACCAGUGACAUAGGAAAACCAAGGGAGGAGGACCUGAAAGCUGAAGAUAGGAAGUUAAGAGAUACACUAAAAUACGAGAUCUCAAAUGUAGUAUUGUCAAGCUUACACCCAGUGCCACAUUGUUGUCGGGAGAAGUUUGUGUUGUGUUCAGUUGUACAAGUGACCUUUAUUCAGAGCUCUGUUACCGCAUGUGUGGGAGAGGCCAGAGUCCACUCCAAACCUGGCUUUCACAUGAGGCCUAAUUCCCCUCUUAAAUACAGCUCAGAUUGGAAGAGUGGACAGUGACACUCAAACUUUCCCUGGCUGAUUGUGAUAUUUUUAUUCCAUUCGCUAGGUGUUAUUUACAUGCAAUAUUGUUGUCAUUGUUAGCCACACACCCCAAAUCAAUAUACCCAAUCCAGUAAGCAAACCAUUUUCCUAGGAUGGUGACGGCGAGUACGAGGGGGCAUAGCUUUAAAUUGAGGGGUGAAAGAUAUAGGACAGAUGCCAGAGGUAGUUUCUUUACUCAGAGAGUAGUAAGGGAAUGGAACGCUUUGCCUGCAACGGUAGUAGAUUUGCCAACUUUAGGUACAUUUAGGGUGUCAUUGGACAAGCAUAUGGACGUACAUGGAAUAGUGUAGGUUAGACGGGCUUGAGAUCGGUAUGACAGGUCGGCACAACAUCAAGGGCCGAAGGGCCUGUACUGUGCUGUAAUGUUCUAUGUCGUAUGUUCAAACAAUCGUGGACAACACUAUGUUCAGUCCUAAACCCUUCUAUAAUCUCCUGAGGUUAGCUCGAAAACUACUUCGUCUGUCUUUGGGACCUUACAAUGCUUUUGACAGUUAUAUUCCUCCUCAGACAUUUGCCAGCUGCACCACAUUUUUUUGCCAAAAACCAAAAUGGUAUCUUAUCACUAAGAACUUUUCCAAAUUCUCUACUAACUGUAGUGUGGAUUGUUAGGAAUUGUGAUUAAGUCUUUUAAACUCAACUCUGAUAUAAAGUGACUACAAUUUGUAAUACAGUUGACAAAUUGUGGAAAAAUCCCUCUCUUACUUCAGCUUAAAAGAUCAAACAGUGUUUCUGACUUGCUGCUGCAGUUUACAAUCCCAACGAUUUGCAUUCUGUAAAUGAUUUUUAAACUGAAGUUUCAUUUUCUACUCUAAGCGCUUUCCAUUAUUACUUUCUUGUUUUAAUAAAAAGCAUCUAUUCCAGUUCCACUGAGUGUGAAAUUCAGUCACUUUAGAGCUUUACCAAGCCAUGAAACAAAAUUUGUUCAGAUUUCACAAAUAACUAAGGCACUAACCAUAUCUUCAUUUCGGAUUUUGUAAUCUAUCUUUGUCACUCUUCCCUUGAUCUUUGGAUGUAAGAAUUUAUUCAAAUUAUCCGUAUCGACAUUUCAAUUGUUUUAUCUCUCUGCAGCCCUGACUUCUCUCUUUAUAAUCUUCCUUUGCCCCUUCCUAUGUUGUUGGUCUUUUCGAGGUUGUGUUUACACCAUUUAUUGCUUUUCCUUCCAUAAUGAUACAGUGAGCUGCUUUUAUUGCUGACAAACAUUUGCUCUAGGAAUUCAGCUAACCCUUUCACGUUAAUUGGUUGUUUGCAUUUCUGGUUACAAUUACCUAAACAGUUCAGAAUGCUGUAGGAUCAGACUUUUGCUUCUACUUUUUAUUAAGUAACAAACUUGUGAUUGUGGCUGAACCAGGCCUUUAAAAACUGCCUCUUGUUAAAAUGCUUAUGUGUUUUGAACUGUCUGUUUACAGAAACCCAAGUAAAUUCCCUAAUGUUCCUUCUCAACAGGACUCUUUUAUACCCCCCACAGGACCUUUUGUGAUCUAAUCCCGUAACAGUGUGAGCUGCUACAAUGCACGUGCUAGUAAAAGCAUAAGAGGACAGAUGAGAUGAGUGCAUGGCUGGAGCUAUAACUUAAAAGGUUUGGAUUCCUGAGGCAUUGAGACUGUUUGUUUGUUUCUGGGGAAGGUGGGACAUGCACAAGCUUGAACAAUUGUCCUGGGCAGAGCUGGGACAGAUAUUCUUGUUGAUGCUUUUGCUAGUUCCACUGGUGAGGAUUUAAACUCGUAUGACAGGGGAAUGGGAACCCAAGUAUAGCUUUAGCAGUAAAAGACUCAAAUCAGCAAAUGGGAUUUGAAAUUAGUUCAUGAUGUUGUCGGUGGCUGAAAGAUUAAAAGAAAGAAGGAUUAAUCAAGAUCAAAUCUCUUUUCAUACAUCAGUCCUGUGAUCCCAGGAAUUGGCCUGGUGAACCUUCUUUCCGAUCAUUCAGUAGCCAGGCCAUCCUUCCUCUGGAAAGGAGAACAAAGGUGCACACGACUCCAGGUGUGGUCUCACCAAGGCCCUUAUAGAAAGAUAUCCCUCUUCCUGUACUCGAAUCCUCUCACAAUGAAGGCCGAAAUAUCAUUUGCAUUCUUCACUACUUGCUGCUGCCUGUUUCCGAAAAGAGAAUAGGAGAGAAACACGGAACUAAAUGGGGUCAGACACUCGGGUAACAUUGUGUUCAACAAUGUCCCCAUUGUAUCGGUGCUGGCCACCAAGCACCUAUUGAAGCUAGGCCCGUUUUCUGGCACUCGGUGUGUAACCUGUAUUUUGGUGCAGUGGAUGAUCAUCUCAACACUUCUUCAAGAUUGCAAUGGUUCCUGCAUCUAUCACCAUUUCAGAUGCUGCCAGAUCUGCUGAGUAUCUCUAUCAUUUUCUGUUUUUAUUUCAGAUUUCAGGUAUUUUUCUGCAUCUUAGUCCUUCAGAAGGAUCAGAGGGUAUGGAGAGAAAACAGGAAUUGGAUUCAUUUUCAGAUGAAUAAAAUGCCUGCCCUUCAUGUCUGUCCAAACUCUAUCUCUUUUUGUAGUUUUGGGCAAACGCUGACUGUUUCCCUUCCCUGAAGGACAUUUAAUGAACCAGUUCAGUUUUACUGAUAAUCCAGCAGUGCCCCUCAGUGUUGCAUCCACAAUUGAUCAGAUUAAUUUCUGAGUUUGACAAUCUUUGUGUGUGUUCUUCUGGUUUCUCUCUCUCUCUCUACUUUUUUUUUCUUCAGUUUGAAAUUGUGAUUGCAUUCAGAGAAAUCAAACAAAACCACAUCCAGAUCUGACACUCAAUCUGUUUGUCGUAACCUAAUUAUCUCAGGAUUUUGAACAUUAAAGGAAGAAGCACUGUUCACACCAGGGAGAAAUGCGUAUUGUCUGUGUGUCGAAGAUUCUGUGAAGAUUCAUCUGAAAUGCCCAAACACCAGCACGGUCACACUGGGGAGAGACUGUGGAAAUGUGGGGAUUGUGGGAAGGGAUUUAUUUACCCAUCCCAGCUGGAAAUGCACCAACGCAGUCACACUGGGGAGAAACUGUUCAUUUGCUCUGAUUGUGGGCUGGGAUUCACUCAGUCAAGCAACCUGCUGAAACACCAACGAGUUCACAGUGGGGAGAGACUGUUCACAUGUUCCGAGUAUGGGAAGGGAUUUGCUCACUCAACCAACCUGCUGAGACACCAGCGAGUUCACUCUGGGGACAGACCAUUCACUUGUUCUAUGUGUGGAAAGGGAUUCACUCAAUCAUCCCAACUGUUAACACACCAGCAAGUUCACCACAACCACAUUUGAAGGAUUUUGCCCUUAAAUCAAGGAAUGAACUUUGAUCUUUGGGCUGUUUGUACUGGUGUCAUUAGUCCCUGCUCAAAACUUGAUCUUCUCUUGGGAAAUAAGGUAGGGCAGGUGACUGAGGGGUCAGCAGGGGGGACAAUAUUUUGGGGCCUAUGAUUAUAUCUCUAUUAGUUUUAAAAUAAUUAUGGAAAAGGAUAGACUUUGGUCGAAGAGUCAAAGUUUUAAAUGAGGCCAAUUUUGACACUACUAUGCUUCUUAAAAGCACAGUAAGACCGCCUAUGUGUGGGAAUGCACGAGAUGGGUGAGAUACAAAAAAGUAUUUUACAUCAGUAUUUACUGUGAUAAAGGAUACAAAAGCUAAAGAACUUCGAGAAAUGAAUGUGUAUCUUGAAAAGCUCCAUGUUGUAGAGGAGGUGGUGCUGGAUGCCAUACAGAGCAUAAAGGUGGAUAAAUCCCCAGGACCUCUUCAGGUGUAUUCUCGAACUUUGCGGGAAGCUAAGCUUGCGAUUGGGCCCCUUGCUCAGAUAUUUGCACCAUUGACAGUCAUAGGUGAGCUGUUACACUGGAGGUUGGCUAAUCUGGUGCCAUUGUUUAAGAAAGGUGGUAACAUAAAACCAGGGAACAAUAAACUUUUAGUGAGCCUGACGUCAGUUGUGGGUAAGUUGUUGGAGGGAAUUCUGAGGGAUAGGAUUAACAUAUAUUUGGAAAGCGUGGACUGAAUGGGGAAUAGUUGACAUGGCUUUGUCCAUAGGAAAUUAUGCCUUACUAACUUGAUUGAGUUUUUUUGAAGAAGUUAGAAACAAGAUUGAUGGCAGACCGGUGGAUGUUUUCGAUAUUCCUCAUGGUCGACUGAUUAACAAGGUUAGAUCACAUGGAAUCCAGGGAGAGCUGGCCAUUUGGAAAGGCCUUUGACCUGCAGUAUGCUGCAAGGAUUGGUACUUAGUAACUAUAACUCCUACAUUCACAUCCAAAUCAUCUUUAUAAAUGACACACCACUGGUCACAGGCCUCCAGUCGACAAAGCAACCCUCCACCAGCACUCCGUCUUCUACCUUCAAGUCAGAUCUGUUUCCAAAUGACUGGUUCUCUCUGUAUUCCAUGUGAUCUGACCUUGCUAAUCAGUCUACUAUGAGGAACCUUGUCAAACGCCUUAGUGACAUCCAUAUAGAACACAUCCACCUCUUUGCGCUACUCAAUCCUCUUUGUUCCUGCAUCAAAAAAAAUCAAGUCAGUGAGACAUGAUUUCCCACACACACAGCCAUGUUGAUUAUCCCUAAUCAGUCCUUCCCUUUCCAAAUAUUUCAAGUACUAUCCCUCAGGAUUCCUAGAACGACUUUCCCACCACUAAUAUCAGGCUCACUGGCCUAUAGUUCCCUGGCUUUUCCUUACCACCUUUCUUAAAUAGUGGCACCACAUUAGCCAACUUCUGGUCCCUCACCUGUGACUAUCGAUGAUACAAAUAUCUCAGCAAGGGGCCCAGCAAUCACUUGCCUAGCUUCCCUCCGAGUUCUCGGAUACACCUGAUCAGGUCCCAGGAACUUAUCCACUUUUAUACGUUUUAAGCAUCACUACCUCUGUAAUAUGGAUAAUUUUCAAGAUGUUGCUAUUUAUUUCCCCACAGUCCAUAUCUUCCAUAUCCUUUUCUGUAGUAAAUACUGAUGCAUAAUACUUGUUUUAUUAUAUUCCCCAUUUCUUGCAAUUCCACACAUAGGAGGCAUUGCUGCUUUUUAAGGGGCCCUGUCUCUCCAUCGUUAUCCUUUUUGUUCUUAAUCUAUUUGUAGAAUCCCACUGGAUUUUCCUUAAUACUAUUUGCCUAAGUUACCUCAUGUUCCCUUUUUGCCCUACUAAUUUCCCUCUUAAGUAUACUAUUGUCAUUAUACUCUUGUAAGCAUUCACUCGAUCUCUGCUGUCUAUACCUGACAUGUCCUUCCUCGUUUUUCUUGACCAAAACCUUGAUUUCUCUCGUCAUCCAGAAUUCCCUAUACCUACCAGCAUUGUCCUUCACCCGAACAGGAGUAUACUGUCCCUGAACUCUCGUUAUCUCUUUUUUUUUGAAGGCUUCCCACUUUCUAACUUUCUGUUUUACCUGCGAACAUCUGCCCCAAUCAACUUUUGAAAGCUCUUGUGUAAUACCAUUAAAAUUGGCCUUCCUCCAAUAUAGAGCUUUAACUUUCAGAUCCGGUCUACUCUUUUCCAUCACUAUUUUAAAACUAAUAGAAUUAUGGUCACUGGCCCCAAAGUCCUCCCCUGCUGAUACCCUAGUCACCUGUCCUGCUUUAUUUGCCAACAGCAGGUCAAGUUUUGCACCUUCUGUAGUCGGUACAUCACAUACUGAAUCAGAACAUUUUCCUCUACACUCUCAGCAAACUCCGCUCCAUCCAAGCCUUUUAGACCAUGGAAUUCCCAGUCUGUUUGGAAAGUUAAAAUCCCUUCCAUCACCACCCUGUUAUUCUUCCAGAUAACUUCUUUCAAAAUUAUUUGUCAGAUUCCUGCUGACUAAUGGGGGUGGCUAUAGUAUAAUCCCAAUAAGGUGAUCAUCCCUUUCUUAUUUCUCAGUUCCACCCAAAUAACUUCCCUGGAUGUAUUCUCAGAUAUAUCCUGCCUAAGUAACGCCGUAAUGUUAUCCUUGCUCAAAAAUGCCACUUUUCCCUCCUCUCUUGCUUUGCUUCCCCCUCCCCCUUCGACUUUCUAUCCUUUCUAUAGGAACUAUAUCUUAGAACAUUAAGCUGGCAGCCCUGUCCACCUCUGAGCCUUGCCUCUGUAAUUGCAAUGAUAACCCAGUUUCAUGUUUCCAAUCUUGCCCUGAGUUCCUCUGCCUUAGCUGUUAGGCCUCUGGCAUUGAAAUAAAUGGCGUUUAAUUUAUUAGUCCUUUCGCAUUAAUCUCAAUAACAAAUACGUAACUGUAGAGUAGGUUUUGAAAAUGAUAACGUUUUAUUGCUGUAGAUCAACACAUUCACACUGGGUAAAGACAAUCCACCCGCAGUGUGUGAAAAGGGAUUCCCUAGUUCAUUAGGACGGGUUUUCAUAGAAUUCGGAGUAUUCCUACAGUAUGGAAACAGGCCCUUCGGCCCAAGAAUUCCACACAAAACCUCAGAGCAUCCCACCCAGACACAUCUCCCCGUAGCCCACCUAAUGUACGCAUCACUGAACACUCUGGGCAAUUUAGCUUGGCGAAUCCACUAACCAGCACGUGGGAGGAAACCAGAGCACCUAGAGGAAACCCACGCAGCCACAGGGAGAAUAUGCCAACAACCACACACUCGGUUGCCCAAGGGUGGAAUCAAAUCCAGGUCCCUGGCACUGUGAGGCAGCAGUGCUAACCGCUGAGCCACUGUGGUUAAACACCAAUGAGUUCCCAAGAAUCUGUAGGAAUUUUUGUUGCUCGUAUUAUCUGUAUUCAAGUCAUGUUAUCUGGGCUUGUUUCUCAUGAUGUUUGAAAACACCACAUGUCUGGUUACCUUGUUGGGAGAAAAAAUGAUAUAAAUUUUAUUAAAACUACUGUGCAUUGGAUCUUUAUCUCAAAAGCAGACUAAUUUAUUUUGAAAGGGGAGAUGGAGAGCCUAUCUCCUCUAUCCUCACCUCCAACAAGUGCGAGGAACCUGUGGUUUUUAUUUUUCACUCAAUGACAGUCAGUACAUUUCAUAUGAGCAACUGGGAACCGAGUCAUCCCAAAAUGCUUGAAACUUAGUGUACUAAUGGUACACUAUUACAAUAAUAACCAUUACAAUUCUUUUCUGAACCUUUUGAAGUUUUACAACAUCCGUCCUUCAGCAGGAAGAGUAGAAUUACACACAGCGGUUACACCUAAACUGGAAUGGGAACUGCAUCCUUGUGGGAGCUGGGGAUGGGUUUCCAGUACUGUUGGGGGUCAUGUAAAAAGUUUAGCAGUGGGCUGAAAUCCAGAGAAUGUUCAAAAAUAAUAAUGGCCAAAAAGAGAAGAAACAAGAGAGUCUGGAAGGCAUUGUCAUUGGGCAAUUAAGAUAUAAGAGAGUUUGCCACGGGUGAAUGGUAUUUAAUGCUUGGAGUCAGAUGAAUAAGGCAGAUGAUUUGAGGAUACAAAUUAGUGGGGUCAUAAAGCCAUUGCUGUCACUUGGACAUGGUUAGCAGCUCAGUAUUCCAGGAUACAGGGCCUUCAUGCAAGGCAGUGGAGGUGGUAAAGGAGGAGGAAAUAUUGUUAUUUUGCUUCAGGAAUCUAUAUAGCAAUAAGGACAGGUGACAUUUUUGAAAACCCCUUUAAAUAAAUAAGGAGACAGAUUUUGAGAAAGUGUAGAAGUAGCAGGAUUAUGGUAGCAGAGACUUUCAACUUCCUCAACAUUAAUGGAGUCGUCAUAAUGUGAAGGAUUUAUCAGAAUUUUUAAAAUACAUCCAGGAGAGCAUUUUUUCAGCCACUAAGUAGAAGUCCCAACAAGGAAGGGGAAGGUCCUGGACUUGACUUUAGGUUACAAAGUUGAGCAAGUGGUUGAAGUUUCAGUGGGAUAGCAUUUUGCAGGUAGUUAUUAUAACUAUUCGAUUCAGGAUUUGUGUGAAAAAGGACAAGGAUGGGUCUAAAGUCCUAAACUGAUGCUGAAGUUAUGAAGAAAGUAAAUGGAAUUUUGGCCUUAACUGCGAGGUGUUAGUGUUUUGAGGAUCGGGACAUCUUGUAACAACUGUAUUGGAUGUUGGUGAAGCCAUAUUGGUUUAGCUACUCGUAUUUAAGAAAGGAUAUGCUGGCGUUGAAUGCGGUGCAAAAGAGAUUCGCUAAGCUGAUUCAUGGGAUGUAAGGGUCAUCAAGAAUAGCUGGAGGAAGGGAAUUUGCAAAGGGAAAAUACUAAAUAAACAGGUGGUGCCCAGUGUUGGGCUCAUACUCACAACUCUGCACUUAAACAGCGUAUGUUCCAACAACUGAGUUAACUUGGCCUUCCACAGUCAAUGUUCAAAUCCUGCUUUAUAAGGUGACAAAUGGGUUUUUCACUGACGCCGCUGCAGUCCAAGGAAGUAAAAGGUAACUGCUUUAGAAAAUCCCAAGGUUCCAAUGUAUUCUUCUCAUUCACAUUGCAAUCCAUUUUCAGUACUUGCUCCAGGAUUUAACAUUCAAAAUUAAUUUCGUGAUGUUGUUGCCCUCAUCUUUAAGUGCCCUGUAUAACUCCAGUCACUCGGUCGAAUGGUGAAAAAGUCUGUUUCAAUAAACCAAUUUUUUUCAGC